AAUCAACGCUGGCGGCGUGCCUCAGACAUGCAAGUCGAACGAUUAAAGCUCCCUUCGGGAGUGCAUAGAGUGGCGCACGGGUGAGUAACACGUAAGUAAUCUACCUUUGAGUGGGGAAUAACGUUCGGAAACGGACGCUAAUACCGCAUAAUGCAGCGGCAUCGCAAGAUGACAGUUGUUAAAGGAGCAAUCCGCUUAAAGAGGAGCUUGCGGCAGAUUAGCUUGUUGGUAAGAUAACGGCUUACCAAGGCUACGAUCUGUAUCCGGUCUAAGAGGACGGUCGGACACACUGACACUGAAUAACGGGUCAGACUCCUACGGGAGGCAGCGGUCGGGAAGUUUUGGGCAAUGGGCGAAAGCCUGACCCAGCAACGCCGCGUGAAGGAUGAAGUAUUUCGGUAUGUAAACUUCGAAAGAAUAGGAAGAAUAAAUGACGGUACUAUUUAUAAGCUCCGGCUAACUACGUGCCA
Molecule: ribosomal RNA, 470 nt
Filed under: uncultured bacterium
Lineage: Bacteria
Description: bacterial SSU rRNA
Rfam family: Bacterial small subunit ribosomal RNA
Source: RNAcentral